UACGGGGGGGGCAAGCGUUGUUCGGAAUUACUGGGCGUAAAGGGUUCGUAGGCGGCCUACUAAGUCAGACGUGAAAUCCCUCAGCUUAACUGGGGAACUGCGUCUGAGACUGGAUGGCUUGAGUGCAGGAGAGGAACGCGGAAUUCCAGGUGUAGCGGUGAAAUGCGUAGAUAUCUGGAGGAAUACCGGUGGCGAAGGCGGCAUCCUGGACCGGCAUUGACGCUGAGGCGCGAAAGCCAGGGGAGCAAACGGG
RNAcentral lists this ribosomal RNA (253 nucleotides) under uncultured bacterium. RNAcentral describes it as "partial 16S ribosomal RNA". It matches the Rfam family "Bacterial small subunit ribosomal RNA", at positions 524 to 776 of the family's 1533-position model. The record is from RNAcentral.